AGAGUUUGAUCAUGGCUCAGAACGAACGCUGGCGGCAUGCCUAACACAUGCAAGUCGAACGCGUGUAGCAAUACACGAGUGGCGCACGGGUGAGUAACGCGUGGGAACCUGCCCUGGAGUGGGGGAUAACCCGGCGAAAGCCGGGCUAAUACCGCAUACGACCUAUGGGUGAAAGAUUUAUCGCUCUGGGAGGGGCCCGC
This 200-nucleotide ribosomal RNA is filed under the name uncultured bacterium. Its description in RNAcentral is "partial 16S ribosomal RNA". It matches the Rfam family "Bacterial small subunit ribosomal RNA", at positions 8 to 234 of the family's 1533-position model. The record is from RNAcentral.